AUUGAACGCUGGCGGCAGGCCUAACACAUGCAAGUCGAGCGGAUGAAGGGAGCUUGCUCCUGGAUUCAGCGGCGGACGGGUGAGUAAUGCCUAGGAAUCUGCCUGGUAGUGGGGGAUAACGUCCGGAAACGGGCGCUAAUACCGCAUACGUCCUGAGGGAGAAAGUGGGGGAUCUUCGGACCUCACGCCAUCAGAUGAGCCUAGGUCGGAUUAGCUAGUUGGUGGGGUAAAGGCCUACCAAGGCGACGAUCCGUAACUGGUCUGAGAGGAUGAUCAGUCACAAUGGAACUGAGACACGGUCCAGACUCCUACGUGAGGCAGCAGUGGGGAAUAUGGGAAGAUGGGCGAAAGCUUGAUCCAGCCAUGCCGCGUGUGUGAAGAAGGUCUUCGGAUUGUAAAGCACUUUAAGUUGGGAGGAAGGAAAGUAAGUUAAUACCUUGCUGUUUUGACGUUACCAACAGAAUAAGCACCGGCUAACUUCGUG
This 484-nucleotide ribosomal RNA is filed under the name uncultured bacterium. RNAcentral's name for it is "partial 16S ribosomal RNA". It matches the Rfam family "Bacterial small subunit ribosomal RNA", at positions 30 to 507 of the family's 1533-position model. The record is from RNAcentral.